CAAUAAUUAAAAUCAUUUGAACAAAAAAAUGGCACUCUGAUUAAACUGCAUUUACAGCCUGCAGGACACCUUGGACCAGCUUGGCUUUCCUCUAGAUUUAAAGAACUU
Molecule: non-coding RNA, 108 nt
Organism: Ceratotherium simum simum (southern white rhinoceros)
Lineage: Eukaryota; Metazoa; Chordata; Mammalia; Perissodactyla; Rhinocerotidae
Source: RefSeq, a predicted model, not a curated record